UACGAAGGGUGCGAGCGUUGUUCGGAGUCACUGGGCGUAAAGGGCGCGUAGGUGGUUAUUCAAGUUAGGUGUGAAAGCCCUGGGCUUAACCCGGGAACUGCACUUGAUACUGGAUGGCUAGAGGAAGGAAGAGGAUAGCGGAAUUCCUAGUGUAGAGGUGAAAUUCGUAGAUAUUAGGAAGAACACCGGUGGCGAAGGCGGCUAUCUGGUCCUUAUCUGACACUGAGGCGCGAAAGCGUGGGGAGCAAACAGG
Molecule: ribosomal RNA, 253 nt
Filed under: uncultured bacterium
Lineage: Bacteria
Description: partial 16S ribosomal RNA
Rfam family: Bacterial small subunit ribosomal RNA
Source: RNAcentral